This 870-nucleotide unclassified non-coding RNA is filed under the name Hevea brasiliensis (rubber tree). The record is from RNAcentral. Lineage: Eukaryota; Viridiplantae; Streptophyta; Magnoliopsida; Malpighiales; Euphorbiaceae.
AUGGAAUAAACUAACUUUAAAUUAACAUUUGUACCUUAUGUUAUGGGUGCAAAUAUAAAGUUCAUGGAUGAGAUACCAUUUUAAAUAUCAGCUCCUACUGAAGAGGAUAUGGAAGACACACAGGGGAACCAAUAGCGGCGCUUGCCAUCCUUGUGGCCAUCAUCAAUCAUAGCAAGACCUUCAUCUAAUAAUGUAUCAAGGGCAUCAGUAGCACGACCAGAUGUCCAAGAAAGUCGCCCCUCUACCUCAUCAACAGUGACAUAGCCUUGAGCCUGAGCCAGCUCCAAAAUUUCAUUAUGGUCUUUGUUCAAUUCAGUUGGAACAGAUCGAACAAGCUUUCUUUUUCCAACAGAUAUCACCUCAAAACCGCUCCCUAGUAUCUUAAGCUUACUUAUAGCACGCAAGCAGUCAUCUUCGGAAACAGCUUCACGAUCAGUUUUUCGUUUCUGACGAAGUAGCAUGCAGAGUUCCUGAAGGUUGAUCAAACCUCCAUUGUGAGAUCUUGUUGCCAAGCAUAUCUCAACGAUUUGCACCCCAAGUUCGUAAUAGAAGUCACCAAUCCCUAACAGCUCUGCCCAAAAACCCUUAUUUGAGGCCAGUGGAUCCACUCCCACUUUAGCACACAUCUCGUGGAAUUGCGCCCUGAAAGUUGGGUUCUUGCGAAUAUCAUUCUUGUGUUUGCGGGCAAAUUCUUCUAGCUGGGAGCGAAAAGUGGCGAGCUGUUCUUUCAUAAGAUCAGUUCUUAACUUCGCUACAUUUUCUCCUAAUAAUCGAUAUUGGUCCCGAGCAGCAGCAGCUGUUUGUAACCCGCCAAUUCCAGGCCUCCUUCUCAUUCUUCUCUAAAGAUUGCCCCUUUGUAUUAUGGGUUUG